GGCUCAAGGGAAUUGUGUGCUCAACUACAGUGUCUAGCAUGACUCAGGAAGAAGGAGCCUGCGUUGAACCCCGCCAGGAGAAAGCGGAGGGUGGGUACCAAGAGGGAACUAGGCUUUGCCUGAGAAGCGUGGGGACAGACCUGGGGUGGGAGAAGGGAAGUGCCUUUUGCACUUUAGCACUUGGUACUUUACCACUUUGGUUUCCACCCAGCAUCGAGUGGAUGCUCACAGCAACGCCCUGAUGUAGGCCAUCACUCUUUCUAUCUUAAGCUUACGUGUUGGGCGCCUCAGCCCUAGUUAUGAGAAGAUUCCCGUUGUGGCUUCUGAGUAGCCGAAUGCUGGGGAAAGCAACACUUGGUCUCUAAUUGUCGCCCCAACCCAAAAAGGACUAAUCCAGAAGAAGAAGAAGAAGAAGAAGAAGAAGAAGAAG
Puma concolor (puma) is the source of this 430-nucleotide non-coding RNA. The record is from RefSeq and is a predicted model, not a curated record. NCBI's taxonomy places the organism in Eukaryota, Metazoa, Chordata, Mammalia, Carnivora, Felidae.